ACCUGGCCAUGCUGCUGCUCCAGUUUCAACUGGCCUGGGCCCUAGGACCAUGUCCCAGGACUACCUGACAUGAGGACUCCUUGCUGUCCCCAGUCCACCUGGCCAUGCUGCUGCUCCAGUUUCAACUGUUCUGCCUUACUAUUAUUCAACCAUGCUGGACCUGAGCCCUAGGACCGUGCCCCAGGACUACCUGACAUGAUGGCUCCUUGCUGUCCCCAGUCCACCUGACUGUGCUGCUGCUCCAGUUUCAACUGUUCUGCCUUAUUAUUAUUCGACCAUGCUGGUCAUUUAUGAAGAUUUGAACAUCUUGGUCAUGUUCUGUUAUAAUCUCUACCCGGCACAGCCAGAAGAGGACUGGCCACCCCACAUAGCCCGGUUCCUCUCUAGGUUUCUUCCUAGGUUUUGGCCUUUCUAGGGAGUUUUUCCUAGCCACCGUGCUUUUACACCUGCAUUGUUUGCUGUUUGGGGUUUUAGGCUGGGUUUCUGUACAGCACUUUGAGAUAUCAGCUGAUGUACGAAGGGCUAUAUAAAUAAAUUUGAUUUGAUUUGAUCCA
Oncorhynchus keta (chum salmon) is the source of this 554-nucleotide long non-coding RNA. RefSeq lists it as uncharacterized. The transcript has 2 exons. The record is from RefSeq and is a predicted model, not a curated record. NCBI's taxonomy places the organism in Eukaryota, Metazoa, Chordata, Actinopteri, Salmoniformes, Salmonidae.